CGACUACAUUAGAUACCCGUGUAGUCCUAGCCGUAAACGAUACUCGCUAGGUGUCGGCCACGGUGCGACCGUUGUCGGUGCCGUAGGGAAGCCGUGAAGCGAGCCACCUGGGAAGUACGGCCGCAAGGCUGAAACUUAAGGGAAUCGGCGGGGGAGCACCACAACGGGUGGAGCUUGCGGUUUAAUUGGAUUCAACGCCGGAAAUCUUACCGGGACCGACAGCAACAUGAAGGCCAGGCUGAAGACUUUGCCGGAUUAGCUG
This 262-nucleotide ribosomal RNA is filed under the name uncultured archaeon. RNAcentral's name for it is "partial 16S ribosomal RNA". It matches the Rfam family "Archaeal small subunit ribosomal RNA", at positions 717 to 982 of the family's 1478-position model. The record is from RNAcentral.